This 464-nucleotide ribosomal RNA is filed under the name uncultured bacterium. RNAcentral describes it as "partial 16S ribosomal RNA". It matches the Rfam family "Bacterial small subunit ribosomal RNA", at positions 338 to 795 of the family's 1533-position model. The record is from RNAcentral.
CCUAGGGGUGCUGCAGUGGGGAAUAUUGCACAAUGGGCGCAAGCCUGAUGCAGCCAUGCCGCGUGUAUGAAGAAGGCCUUCGGGUUGUAAAGUACUUUCAGCGGGGAGGAAGGGAGUAAAGUUAAUACCUUUGCUCAUUGACGUUACCCGCAGAAGAAGCACCGGCUAACUCCGUGCCAGCAGCCGCGGUAAUACGGAGGGUGCAAGCGUUAAUCGGAAUUACUGGGCGUAAAGCGCACGCAGGCGGUUUGUUAAGUCAGAUGUGAAAUCCCCGGGCUCAACCUGGGAACUGCAUCUGAUACUGGCAAGCUUGAGUCUCGUAGAGGGGGGUAGAAUUCCAGGUGUAGCGGUGAAAUGCGUAGAGAUCUGGAGGAAUACCGGUGGCGAAGGCGGCCCCCUGGACGAAGACUGACGCUCAGGUGCGAAAGCGUGGGGAGCAAACAGGAUUAGAUACCCCUGUAGUC